AGCAGCCGCGGUAAUUCCAGCUCCAAUAGCGUAUAUUAAAGUUGUUGCAGUUAAAAAGCUCGUAGUUGAAUUUCGGGGUUAGUAGGUUGGUCAUGCCUCUGGUAUGUACUGGUCUCACUGAUUCCUCCUUCCUGAUGAACUGUAAUGCCAUUAAUUUGGUGUUGCAGGGAAUCUGGACUGUUACUUUGAAAAAAUUAGAGUGUUUAAAGCAGGCUAACGCUUGAAUACAUUAGCAUGGAAUAAUGAAAUAGGACGUUCGAUCCUAUUUUGUUGGUUUCUAGGAUUGACGUAAUGAUUAAUAGGGAUAGUUGGGGGCAUUAGUAUUCAAUUGUCAGAGGUGAAAUUCUUGGAUUUAUUGAAGACUAACUACUGCGAAAGCAUUUGCCAAGGAUGUUUUCAUUAAUCAAGAACGAAAGUUAGGGGAUCGAAGACGAUCAGAUACCGUCGUAGUCUUAACCAUAAACUAUGCCGACUAGGGAUCGGAUGAUGUUAAUUUUUUAAUGACUCA
Molecule: ribosomal RNA, 508 nt
Filed under: uncultured Glomus
Lineage: Eukaryota; Fungi; Glomeromycota; Glomeromycetes; Glomerales; Glomeraceae
Description: SSU rRNA
Rfam family: Eukaryotic small subunit ribosomal RNA
Source: RNAcentral